GACGAACGCUGGCGGCGUGCCUAAUACAUGCAAGUUGAGCGAUGAAGCUUGGUGCUUGCACCAAUUUGAAGAGCAGCGAACGGGUGAGUAACGCGUGGGGAAUCUGCCUUUGAGCGGGGGACAACAUUUGGAAACGAAUGCUAAUACCGCAUAACAACUUUAAACAUAAGUUUUAAGUUUGAAAGAUGCAAUUGCAUCACUCAAAGAUGAUCCCGCGUUGUAUUAGCUAGUUGGUGAGGUAAAGGCUCACCAAGGCGAUGAUACAUAGCCGACCUGAGAGGGUGAUCGGCCACAUUGGGACUGAGACACGGCCCAAACUCCUACGGGAGGCAGCAGUAGGGAAUCUUCGGCAAUGGACGAAAGUCUGACCGAGCAACGCCGCGUGAGUGAAGAAGGUUUUCGGAUCGUAAAACUCUGUUGGUAGAGAAGAACGUUGGUGAGAGUGGAAAGCUCAUCAAGUGACGGUAACUACCCAGAAAGGGACGGCUAACUACAUG
RNAcentral lists this ribosomal RNA (497 nucleotides) under uncultured bacterium. RNAcentral describes it as "partial 16S ribosomal RNA". It matches the Rfam family "Bacterial small subunit ribosomal RNA", at positions 28 to 507 of the family's 1533-position model. The record is from RNAcentral.